Molecule: unclassified non-coding RNA, 329 nt
Filed under: soil metagenome
Description: partial contains 5.8S ribosomal RNA, internal transcribed spacer 2, and large subunit ribosomal RNA
Rfam family: 5.8S ribosomal RNA (bases 1-120)
Source: RNAcentral
GAUGAAGAACGUAGCGAAAUGCGAUAAGUAAUGUGAAUUGCAGAAUUCAGUGAAUCAUCGAAUCUUUGAACUCACAUUGCGCCCCUUGGUAUUCCGAGGGGCAUGCCUGUUCGAGCGUCAUUAUAACCCCUCAAGCUCAGCUUGGUGUUGGGGCCUGCUGCACUGGCAGCCCUUAAAAUCAGUGGCGGCGCCAUCUGGCUCUAAGCGUAGUAAUUCUUCUCGCUAUGGAGUCCUGGUGGAUGCUUGCCAUCAACCCCCAAUUUUUCUAUGGUUGACCUCGGAUCAGGUAGGGAUACCCGCUGAACUUAAGCAUAUCAAUAAGCGGAGGA